RNAcentral lists this microRNA (20 nucleotides) under Strongyloides ratti. RNAcentral's name for it is "str-miR-7880l-5p". The record is from miRBase by way of RNAcentral. Lineage: Eukaryota; Metazoa; Nematoda; Chromadorea; Rhabditida; Strongyloididae.
GGCUUAGGAUGGUGCAAAUU